RNAcentral lists this ribosomal RNA (478 nucleotides) under bacterium mbm17. RNAcentral describes it as "bacterial SSU rRNA". It matches the Rfam family "Bacterial small subunit ribosomal RNA", at positions 21 to 497 of the family's 1533-position model. The record is from RNAcentral.
UGCUCAGGAUGAACGCUAGCGGCAGGCCUAAUACAUGCAAGUCGAACGGACUAAGAGGCUUCGGUCUCUUGGUUAGUGGCGCACGGGUGCGUAACGCGUAUGCAACCUACCUUCCACUGGGGGAUAGCCCACCGAAAGGUGGAUUAAUACCGCAUAACACAACAGCACGGCAUCGUGCAAUUGUUAAAGCUUCGGCGGUGGAAGAUGGGCAUGCGUGCCAUUAGCUAGUUGGCGGGGUAAAGGCCCACCAAGGCGACGAUGGCUAGGGGUUCUGAGAGGAUGGUCCCCCACACUGGUACUGAGACACGGACCAGACUCCUACGGGAGGCAGCAGUAGGGAAUAUUGGGCAAUGGCCGAGAGGCUGACCCAGCCAUGCCGCGUGCAGGAAGAAGGCCUUCUGGGUUGUAAACUGCUUUUAUCUAGGAAGAAAACGCCCAUGCGUGGGUAACUGACGGUACUAGAUGAAUAAGCACCGGC